UACGUAGGCAGCAAGCGUUGUUCGGAAUUACUGGGCGUAAAGAGUGUGUAGGCGGUGUUCUAAGUUUGUCGUGAAAUCUCCCGGCUCACCUGGGAGGGGGCGCUGGAGACUGGCGAACUGGAGGCAGGGAGAGGUCGGUGGAAUUCCCGGUGUAGUGGUGAAAUGCGUAGAGAUCGGGAGGAACACCAGUGGCGAAAGCGGCCGACUGGACCUGUCCUGACGCUGAGGCGCGAAAGCGUGGGGAGCGAACCGG
Molecule: ribosomal RNA, 253 nt
Filed under: uncultured bacterium
Lineage: Bacteria
Description: partial 16S ribosomal RNA
Rfam family: Bacterial small subunit ribosomal RNA
Source: RNAcentral